RNAcentral lists this ribosomal RNA (497 nucleotides) under uncultured bacterium. RNAcentral describes it as "partial 16S ribosomal RNA". It matches the Rfam family "Bacterial small subunit ribosomal RNA", at positions 28 to 507 of the family's 1533-position model. The record is from RNAcentral.
GAUGAACGCUGGCGGCGUGCCUAAUACAUGCAAGUCGAGCGAACAGACGAGGAGCUUGCUCCUCUGACGUUAGCGGCGGACGGGUGAGUAACACGUGGAUAACCUACCUAUAAGACUGGGAUAACUUCGGGAAACCGGAGCUAAUACCGGAUAAUAUAUUGAACCGCAUGGUUCAAUAGUUAAAGACGGUUUUGCUGUCACUUAUAGAUGGAUCCGCGCCGCAUUAGCUAGUUGGUAAGGUAACGGCUUACCAAGGCAACGAUGCGUAGCCGACCUGAGAGGGUGAUCGGCCACACUGGAAAUGAGACACGGUCCAGACUCCUACGGGAGGCAGCAGUAGGGAAUCUUCGGAAAUGGGCGAAAGCCUGACGGAGCAACGCCGCGUGAGUGAUGAAGGUCUUCGGAUCGUAAAACUCUGUUAUGAGGGAAGAAAAAAUGUGUAAGUAACUAUGCACGUCUUGACGGUACCUAAUCAGAAAGCCACGGCUAACUACGUG